Long non-coding RNA from Centrocercus urophasianus (Greater sage-grouse), 3513 nucleotides. RefSeq lists it as uncharacterized. The record is from RefSeq and is a predicted model, not a curated record. The transcript is spliced from 6 exons. NCBI's taxonomy places the organism in Eukaryota, Metazoa, Chordata, Aves, Galliformes, Phasianidae.
CUGCAGGAGUUGAAAGUAGAUGAUCAUUGUGGUCCUUUUCAACCCACGCCAUUCUAUGAUUCUGUGAUUCUUCACUUUCAGCCUUGAACUUUCAAUAAGAAAAGUCCUCGAAUUUUAAUUUCUGUGUGCCAGAAAAUAGAACUUUCUUUUUCCUCUGAAAAACUUCUGGUUAUUCUUAGUUAAAGUAUUCUGAUAUUUUUAAACCUUGCUUCUGUUUAGUUGGUGAAGUUAUAUUAUCUGAAGGAUAUUAAGUUUUUAUAUUUUUUUUCAGGAUACUUGCACACAUAGCAUAUGUUGAACUUUCCUAACGUAUGUGGUUCAUGUCGUGGAAUUAAAUUUGACUGUUGUUGUUGUUUUAACACAAUCAAACACAGUAUUCAUGAAUGUGACGGCAUCUGUUGGAAAAUCAGUCUUAAUGAAAAUUAAAUCCUGCUGAUACAAAUUUUAGAUAAUUUCUAAAAAAAAUAAAAAAUAAAAAAAAAAAUUGCCAGUAAAGUUGAGUGAUAUUCAGUUUAAAAUAGCAAAAUGCAAGGCCAUACAUGAAAAGCAAGGAAGCAAAAACUGUAGCCUGUAUUGACAAAGAUAGUGGCAGUACCCCAUGGUACUGUAUGUAGUGGGCAGAGCAAAAAUGGCUGAUAUGUUCGAUACUUGUAGAACAGCAAAUUUUAUCAUGUAAUAUCAAAUAGAAUCUAUGAAGGUAGUGGUAGUAGAAAGAUGGUGGUGUUGCCAAGGAAUGGGUACGUGCAGAACGUGUUGCCAGAAUAUAUCUGUUCUUGUUAGUACUUCAGAAGAAUUUGGGAAAAAAAUCUGCUAUCAGGACUAUUCUUAUGCAUUGUAAAUGUACUUUAUUUUGAAAAGUAUUUUAAAAAUCUGACUCAAUUAUUUAAUCCAAUGGAAUUCAAAGAGUUGAUAAGCAAGAAGGUAAGAUUUUCAUUGUUUCAGAAUGUGAACGGUUAAUAAUAUAUUGUUCAACUAAUAUAAAGAAUUAAUAUCUUUUUUAUGUGUUACAAUUGAGUAGUUUCUCAGUAUUUUUAUAGUCACAUCUACUGAGAUUGGUACUUGACUGGGAAAAACGUGUGUCAGAAAUGUGAGCUUUGGUAUAGAUGUGUUGUGGUAUUUGGCAGACAGACGAUUGGAAGAGAGGGAUCUUACUGUGAAUGGAAAAUAUAGUUAUUUCUGUACACUCUAUUAACAAAUGGCCAUCCUCUAAUAGCAAGUGUUGUAUAAGGCUUUGCAUGCUGCUUUCUGGACUAACAUUUCUAUUAUUAUUACUGGUUCACGUAGUAAUUUCCUGUAAUGCUGCUGUUUAUAUUGGAAAAGACAUGGUAUUAAUUAGAAAGUUUAUACUCUAAGGAGUGUCACAGCACCACGAGGAAGGAAGUGUGAGGAUGUUUGCCCUGAGGUAAGGAGACACGUGGAGGUGAGCUGGUUGUGACAAGCAGUCCUAGAUGCAGAUUGUUGGUGAUUUAAUUUGAUUAAUUAAUCUCAGUUUUGACUCAUUAUUUGGAGUAUCAGUGUACAAAAGCACUUGUGACAAAUGAGAAGAACUUGAAGAACCAGAGAAUAACAAAACCCAUAAGCCAGUUUGUCACGGUCCUGCCUAAUGUCUUUAGCACAAGUAUUAAAGAGUUCAGACCUGCUUUUCUCAUGUCUCCAAAAUCUCUCCGGUAAGGGCUGUUUUCACAGGAUCACAAAUUCUGUUUGAUGGAUUGUGGGUCUUUAUAGCCACACAUGUAUUUUUUUGAUGUGGAAGUUGUUUAAUAGCAAUUAGUAUGCUAUUACAAGUCUUUCAGAAUUAAAUAUGGAGGCCUUUUUACACCUGACAUUUAGUACAAUUAAAGCAGGAUUUUUGGGGAUUAAUUAAAACUGCAGUGUUGUAAUAAACAUUGCAAAAAAAUUGAGUGAAAGUAGAAUGGCAUCUGCCCUUCCUCUCCUCACAGACCUUGCGGAAGAUACAAGAAAAAAAAGCAUUUAAUCAGAUUGUAAGAAGGAAGCUGUGAAAUCGAACACCUUAGAGGAAAAAAAAAACACACUUUAUGGCGAUGUUAAGUAAGUUAACUUGACAUUUUUAAUAAAAUUUCACACACAUGUAUGCAAUAUUUUAUCACUUUUUUCAUUCACUUUUUCCUGCUUUAGGAUAAGCAGCAGUGGUGAGAUAGCUCCAUGUCUCUACAUGGAGGCAUGAUUUCUAAUGCACAAUCAGCAGUAAUGGGGGAAGACACGUGCUUUUAAAUCCAGCUCUGUAUAUUCUUACCUUUGUGUACUUUGUGGUUAGAACUGUGUCUGUCUGUGAAUGGAAUGUAUGCUAGUCUCAAGAUUAAUGAGAAGAAAAGGCUUUUCUUUUUUUCAGAACUCAGUAACCGUCAAUCUGACUUUAUUAAACAUAGCAAACUACCUAAGAAGCAUUAAGUGCAGAUGACAAACUGUGCUUUCUGAUACCUUUCACAUCUCCAAAACAGAAACACUGGAAUACUUGUUCGUGGAAGUGUAAGCUAAAAAAAAAACCAGACAAAACAAACAGCACAUGAUUGGUUGGUGACAUUUCUUACUAUUCUCAUGUUUUUAACAAAUAAAAUAUUUUCAUUAUCUCUUAUUCUUUAGGAAAAUCACAUCUUUGCUAGUGUUUUUAAAGCCUAGUUUGAUUGCCUACAGUGUUCAGACAAAAUCUAGAGAUAUUAUUAAAUUUACAAUGUUUGUGAACUUAAAUUCAACACUUUGUUUAUAGCUGUCUCUUUAAAGAGUAAAACUGGAGAUACAGCUCCCUCUGUCUGCCCUGGGAAUACCUAUGCUUUGUUUUUUUUGUAGUGCACCUACGAAUGAGCAGAGUAACAGCACAUUCAACAUGGGGAUACAAGGCAAAAAGAUGUGGAGAAGUGUUGUUUCUUUUACAGGUAUAGUGGAUACUGAAGAAAAGUGAAGAGCGUUAUUUGUGAAGUGAGGCAUUGCUCAACACAUGAAAAACGGCCCAGGUAUAAUUCAAAGUCCUAGAUAAAUUCUGUGGUCUCUGAACAACAUUCUUAUCAUCGUCCCAACACAAAGUUCAAACACUUUGACUGCUCUGUGCUCUACACUGGGAAACAGGACAGAGCAGAAAAUGGUGUAUUCUCAACUAACGGCCUCUUCAGCUGUUCAGGAAGGAUUAUGGAGAGAAGUUGACAAGCAGCAGCUGGGAAAAAGUCAUGAAGUUUCAAAGAACCUACUGAUGCCAUCUGAAAUCUAAGAACAAGUUGUUGCUGAGUUCAGAAGAUACUGAAUCCUAAAAUGCUGAAAGAAGAAACCUGAACAGGAGAGUCCAGCUUUCUCAGUUUUGCCAAAGAUAUCUCAGAUUAAAGCAUUGACAUUGCACGUGUCUCUUGGGCAUGAAAGCCUACAAAUCCUCUGGCUGACCCACAGCUCACACAUGUUGGUAAUUAAAGCAUCAUUGAUUUGAUGCACCUGGCUGAACUCUCGAGUGGAACACAGAAAGUGGGAAGUUACUCUGCAUGGUACUUUACUUCAAAAGAGAAGUUGCAA